This 550-nucleotide long non-coding RNA is filed under the name Gallus gallus (chicken). RNAcentral's name for it is "lncRNA (ENSGALG00010015147.1)". Lineage: Eukaryota; Metazoa; Chordata; Aves; Galliformes; Phasianidae. The record is from RNAcentral.
AUGAGGCCCAUGCUGGGCUCAAUGCACUGGAUCAUGGCAUUCCUGUCCAGCUUCAGUUGACGCUGGCAGCGCAGGAAGAGGCUCUCUAUCAAUCUGACCUGCCCCUAGCGGAUCCCAUGGAUGGCAGCCAGCCUGUGAGUUCUGGCACUUCCAGUGGUAAUGGGCUGAUACACCAUUGCUGCAAACGCUGCAGGUCUGAAGUUUAUCUGGUUGGUUAACAGUGCGGGAUGAGAAUUUGUGGCAGUUUCUCACUGAGUUUCUCCAAGCACAGAGGAUUUGAACUGUAAUAAAUGCUGGAAGACAUCGGAUAGCUGCCAGAAAUGUGAUUGGAUGAUGGAGCCAACCAAAUGAACAGCCUGGGAUUCAAGAAGGUAGCAGCACUGCAUGAACAGCACAUUAAAAUUAAAGAAUGCUGAAAGCAAGGCUGGACUGAGACAGUUAAUGAGCAAGCUGUGGGCAAGAAUAUGAUAAAAUAAAAUCCUUAAAAAAAAAAUAGGCAGAAUAUUUUGUAGAAAUUAAAUUGAACGAUUCCUAUGGCCAAGUAGCAAAC